CGCUGGCGGCGUGCCUAACACAUGCAAGUCGAGCGAGGAGAUCCUUCGGGAUGAUCCUAGCGGCGGACGGGUGAGUAACACGUGGGCAACCUGCCUCAUAGAGAGGAAUAGCCUUCCGAAAGGGAGAUUAAUACCUCAUAACAUUGCAGUUUCGCAUGAAACAGCAAUUAAAGGAGCAAUCCGCUAUGAGAUGGGCCCGCGGCGCAUUAGCUAGUUGGUGAGGUAACGGCUCACCAAGGCGACGAUGCGUAGCCGACCUGAGAGGGUGAUCGGCCACAUUGGGACUGAGACACGGCCCAGACUCCUACGGGAGGCAGCAGUGGGGAAUAUUGCACAAUGGGGGAAACCCUGAUGCAAGCAACGCCGCGUGAGUGAUGACGGCCUUCGGGUUGUAAAGCUCUGUCUUCAGGGACGAUAAUGACGGUACCUGAGGAGGAAGCCACGGCUAACUACGUGCCAGCCGCUGC
RNAcentral lists this ribosomal RNA (467 nucleotides) under uncultured bacterium. RNAcentral's name for it is "bacterial SSU rRNA". It matches the Rfam family "Bacterial small subunit ribosomal RNA", at positions 34 to 518 of the family's 1533-position model. The record is from RNAcentral.